AACUAGUAUUAGAGGCACUGCCUGCCCAGUGACAUUAGUUCAACGGCCGCGGUAUCCUGACCGUGCAAAGGUAGCAUAAUCACUUGUUCUCUAAAUAAGGACUUGUAUGAAUGGCCACACGAGGGUUUUACUGUCUCUUACUUCCAAUCAGUGAAAUUGACCUUCCCGUGAAGAGGCGGGAAUACCAAAAUAAGACGAGAAGACCCUAUGGAGCUUCAAUUAACCAACCCAAACAAGCGCACCAUUUAACCACAAAGGAAUAAACAAAGCCCAACAAUGGGUUGGCAAUUUCGGUUGGGGUGACCUCGGAGAACAAAAAAACCCCCGAGUGAUUUCAAUCUAGACUAACCAGUCAAAAGUAUUCCAUCAUUUAUUGAUCCAAAUUAAUUGAUCAACGGAACAAGUUACCCUAGGGAUAACAGCGCAAUCCUAUUCUAGAGUCCCUAUCGACAAUAGGGUUUACGACCUCGAUGUUGGAUCAGGAUAUCCCAAUGGUGCAGCCGCUAUUAAAGGUUCGUUUGUU
RNAcentral lists this ribosomal RNA (523 nucleotides) under Dicotyles tajacu (collared peccary). Its description in RNAcentral is "Pecari tajacu (collared peccary) partial 16S ribosomal RNA". It matches the Rfam family "Bacterial large subunit ribosomal RNA", at positions 1838 to 2581 of the family's 2925-position model. The record is from RNAcentral. Lineage: Eukaryota; Metazoa; Chordata; Mammalia; Artiodactyla; Tayassuidae.